Molecule: long non-coding RNA, 940 nt
Filed under: Mus musculus (house mouse)
Lineage: Eukaryota; Metazoa; Chordata; Mammalia; Rodentia; Muridae
Description: T-box 3, opposite strand 1
Source: RNAcentral
CUUUCUUCCUGCCCCUCAGCCACCAGGGCAGGCUGUCCCUCCACCCAGUCUGUUAGCUUUGCCUAUUCUAAAACCGAGGCAGAAACAGAAUCCUAUAUAGCCCCACGAUUUUACUUUAUUUCAAGGUGAUGCGUUGAAGAGCCAUCUAGGAUAAAACUUGUAUCUGUUGCUUUCUUUUCCUUAUUACAGUGAAGACCCAAAGAUCUUCAACCAAGCUGGGCAAGUGUUCAACCAUUGAGCUACACCCCCGACCCUCCCUUCCGUUUGGCUGCAACAAUAAACCAGUUGUGUCUAGGAGAUCCAACGCCGGUCAAGCCGCUCUACCCACUGAGCCAUCUGGCUGCCUGUCAAGAAGACAAACUUCUGUUGCGCAGUGCUCAGGCACCUGUGAAGACAGGAACUUGGGGAUGAAUGAGGAGAGAGCCUAGAGAGAAAGGGCCCUCGUCUGGCGCACAGAGUCCCUGAACAGAUUUGGACUGGCUUAGCAUGACCAGCAGUCUCAGCCAUAGACGCGUUCUCUCUCUCUCUCUCUCUCUCUCUCUCUCUCUCUCUCUCUCCUGCCUGUCCAGAAAUAGUUUCCGGGAACCGAGGUGCUUCCCCGCCAGCCAGCGGGGAGAUAAAGCUGCCCGUGUGUGUCGCUUGUCUUGGCUGCCUCUCAGUUGACACCUCUGACAGGCCGCUUUGAUCUCGGGUUAUCAAGGCCUAACCCCGAGCCUGGCCUGCUCUGCCAGCCCUCACUCACUGGGGAAAAGGGCAUUUCAGAAGGUCAGUUCGGGGAGGGGCAGGCUUCUCCUCAUGCCCAGCUGGCCUUGAAGCAUGGGUGCUGGAUGUAGGAAUUGUACCCAGUUUUACUCUGCAGCGGUGAUGGAUGGGGGGGCUGGAGGGAGAUGGGGGCAGGGUCUUGGCUGAGAAAUGAAGCAUUCAAGUGGUGCCUACAGCA